CCAAUUCCCCAUAGGGGACCCUGUAGAGCUGCUUUCUUCUUCCUGCUCCUCUAUUUUUCUCUGUUGUUUCUUCUUCCUUUCAACCUAAAAAAAAAAAGAAAAAAGAAUGGCUUCCUCGUCUUCCAGAACAAAGUCAAGUGGACCAGUUCUACGUUCACUCUCACCCUCUACCAGGUUCUGCUCUUACACAACAUCCAAAACCCCUUUUUCUUCUCCUUCAUCAGCCUUUGCUUCAUCUACAAGCUCUGGCUUUUCCUCUCCCUCUUCCACCUUCUUCAACCAGCCCCGUCAACAUCAUCACAAUAAUAACCAUCAUCACAGUCAUCACCGUGCGGCUUCUCCCACACGCGUCAAUCUGUAUACCUCUGCCCCUCUCUCUUCCGGCGUCCGUUUCUCCAUCGACCCCCGCUCCAUCUCUCCUAACCGCUCCAUCUCGAAUCAGAUCAUAACAAAAAAUAACCGUCCGAUCUCCGCCCCCAAGAAGACCUGUAUGUGCUCGCCUACCACGCACCCUGGCUCGUUCCGAUGCAGUCUCCACAAGAACGCUGGAAACAACCACAACAACGCUGAAUCGUACCCGUCUAAUCGUCUCAACAUGCGUAGAUCUGCGAUGAAGAACUCGCUGGUGAGGAUCGGAGGAGUGGAAGGAGAGUGGGUGAAGAGAGCCCUAACCGCUUUGAUUCGGCCGUCUUCGCAUCAACAGAGGAGAAGAUCGGCGUUCGAGCCCAGGCCCAGUCGUCUCUCUGUCAUGUCCAGGGCCCAUGAUCUUUGAUUUUCUUUUCCCUUCUUUUUACAGGUUCAUUUUUGUUUCUAUUGCGCUAGGUUUUCUACCCCUAGCGUACUGAUCUGCCGCCAGAGUUGGAGUCCGGCCAAGCGGUUAGGAGGUAGCGGUGAGUCCUCUCCGGCGAGUUUUGAUUUCGUCGUCUGGAGCAGAUUGGUGAAUUGUCGCCGGAACCGUUGAAGAUUUCCGGCAUAAAUCUAUGAGACUGGACCUACAGAAUUGCUUUUUGUACAUAACAUUUGCUAUGGAAGCAGAGUUUUGGACCCCUUUUUUUUAAUCUCUUCGCACUAAUUCGAUACCUUAAUACAUACAUACAAUCCCCAUCUCAGACUUAAUUUGUGACAUGAUAUUCCUCUAAUUAAAUCAGUUAAAAUUAACAUUAAAAAAAAUAAAUAAAAAAGGUUAACUGGUAUUUUGACUCCACUGACAAAUUGCGUGACCCGUCCCGGUUGUGUUUGCAGCGUCGUGGUGACUCCGUUAUGUUUUCCGUCGAUGGACCUUGUUUCCGUGUGGGUAUUACCGUCGUUUGGUACCAACCGUCCCGUUACCCGUGCCGCCGUUGACCCUCCGAUACGUUCGUCCAGUUGUUUUGCGUGCGGUGCCAGGUUGGCUUAUGCAGCUGGACUUUUGUAAUGCAGAAGAUUGAAUUCUUGAUUUUGAAGGAGACAUUAUUAAAUUUUAAAACAGACAGUAAUUGUUGACAGUGGACACCAGGCAGGAUCCCUCUUUUGAAUACAGGACAGGAGGGAAAAACACUAGUGAAAACUAAUUGAUUAAAAUAAUUUUUUUUAAAGUAAUAAUACCAAUCAUAAAGGAAAGAAAAAUUCAAGGUCGGAGACUUGGAUUGAAUUUAGAAUUUAAUCAGAAUAUAUGAAUAAUAUAAAAAUUAUAUUAUCCUUAAUUAUAGAUUGUUAUAUAAUUAAAAAAAGUUGAUUUUAAAAUUUCUAUGUGAGACAGCUUUUAAUUAUUUAGUAACAUAAGCAUUUUCAUAUCAAUAAUACAUAAAAGUUUGGUAAGGAAAUGUUGAAGGGCGAUGGAAACUUGUUCAUGGGAGGCAUUUGCAGUUUGGCAGCAAGCUGGCCAUGUUCUUGAUUGAGAGGAAAAUCAAAUGAAGUUACUGAUUUCAGGUAGCUUUACAAAUAGAAAUACUGAAAUAGUAAUGGACGCAUAAAAAUGGGAGGUAUUUGUAUGAGUGUGUAGAUGGACAUGUGGCGUAGUAAUAUGGUAUGGGCAGCAUAUUAACGUACGUCAGGGAUGUCAGACUCAGAUGCUUACUUUCUACCAGCGCUUGUGGGCCACUAUAUAACCGUUUUGCCCUACUUUUAUCUUAUCCUCACACCUAUCAAAUACUAAACAAUGGGAAGGACAAACAAAUACAUCAGGAUUACAUCAAGUUUAUGAAGUUUUUGCUCCUUUUUUAAAUUUGAACUGAUUACAAAUACAUUACAUGAGAGUUGAAGUGAUUCUCCCUGGAAUAGCUUGACAACCACACACAAGAAUCCCGCAUCUUGAAAAUUUACCCAAGAUUUCCUACCCAGGUUACAUAUAUGUGUGUGUGUGUAAUUGGAUUUUCAAAAUUCAACGAUACCUGUAUAGUGGGUCAUAAUGUUAUGCAUCUUACACCAUCAAUAUUGAGGAUAAUAUAUAGAAGUUUAUUACUUCUUUUUUUUUCAUGAAAUUUGGUAUUUGGUAAAAACUUUCACAUAAAAUUUAAAUUGAUAAUUUUGAAAACAUCACAACAGUAGUCAUGAUCUACAAGUCAAAACCAGUGAAUUAGCGUGCAUUAUUCUGAGAUAAAAUACACCAAAUUAUACAUAUAUACACACUUAAGCUGAACUUUGUUUAAUCUUCAUUGUUAACCUAACAUUCGUGUUUAAAUCAGAAAAAGAUAAUAGGAGCACAUUGAUAACAUACAAAUGCACAGUUUCUGUAAUGCUUUUUGUCCUAUGAGUAUCUGGCCAGACAAAGUGCUAAUAAAAAUAAAUAUCUUGUUUGGUCUCAU
RNA transcript from Abrus precatorius (Indian licorice), 2783 nucleotides. RefSeq lists it as uncharacterized. NCBI's taxonomy places the organism in Eukaryota, Viridiplantae, Streptophyta, Magnoliopsida, Fabales, Fabaceae. The transcript has 2 exons. The record is from RefSeq and is a predicted model, not a curated record.